This 380-nucleotide ribosomal RNA is filed under the name uncultured eukaryote. RNAcentral describes it as "partial 18S ribosomal RNA". It matches the Rfam family "Eukaryotic small subunit ribosomal RNA", at positions 592 to 976 of the family's 1831-position model. The record is from RNAcentral.
CAAUAGCGUAUAUUUAAGUUGUUGCAGUUAAAAAGCUCGUAGUUGGAUUUCGGGCUCGUGUGGCCGGUCCGCGGUUUCCGUGUGCACUGGCGGUGCGAGUCUUGUUUGCCGGUGAGGCGCUCCUGCACUUUAUUGGGUGGGACGUCGAGUCGGCGAGGUUACUUUGAAAAAAUUAGAGUGUUCAAAGCGGGCGAUCGCUUGAAUAUAUUAGCAUGGAAUAGCACUAUAGGACUCGGGUUCUAUUUUGCUGGUUUCUAGAACCGGAGUAAUGAUUAAGAGGAACAGUUGGGGGCAUUCGUAUUUCAUUGUCAGAGGUGAAAUUCUUGGAUUUAUGAAAGACGAACUUCUGCGAAAGCAUUUGCCAAGGAUGUUUUCAUUAA